RNAcentral lists this long non-coding RNA (1492 nucleotides) under Homo sapiens (human). RNAcentral describes it as "HSALNT0091531". The record is from RNAcentral. Lineage: Eukaryota; Metazoa; Chordata; Mammalia; Primates; Hominidae.
GGCAGAUCAGGUGGCUCAGAGCUAGCACAAUAGACUGUGAGGGGAAGCCGCACUCCCUGAUCAGGGCAGAUCAGGAGGAUUCCAAGUGUAAUUGGCCUCCAGGGAGUAUGUAAGUCACUCUUGUACACCCCCUCAGACCUCCUUAAUGCCUUGCCAGCUGGAAGGAAAAGAGCCUCUUGCAUUGCCCACAAAGGAAGCAGAGAUUGAGGGGAGAAGAACUGGAGAAAUUAAAAAAGUGGAAAGAGACAGCAACACAAAUAAAGAGGUUGAGUACCAGUAGAAACCUCAUAUUUACCUGGAAGAUUACUUUUAGGAAGCUUGAAGAAUUCUCUCUUCCAACUUGGUUAAUCUGAGUUCUGUGGCACCUACAAGAGAAAUGGCUGCUUAUAUGUGACAACCUGCAGAUCUGAGCAGCAGGGGAACAAAGGCAGGGCCAACACAAUGGCACUGGUCCCGUUGAGUCCUGGGGAGUCCUCAGCUUUCAGGAGUCCCCUGAAUAUGGGGCAACCCCACAGAAUGGACUUUUCAUCCAUGUGGCUGUGAUCAGUUCCUAAAGCAGAGGAAUCUGCAGCCUAAUGACACAUCAGGAAUUGAUGGAACCCCAGCAGACAGCUUCUAUGAGGUGUGUGGGUGGCGGAUGUGAAAUCAAUAAAAAAAAAAAAAAGAAUAAUUUUUUUUGUUGUUUUUGUUCACUGUCAUGUACAUUAAAGCAUGUAGGCCUCUUCCAGUGUAUAUGUGUAACUUUCACAGUAAAACCUGGAUGAAAAAUCAAUAGAAAUUUAGAAUCUUUCUUCAUAGGAACUGUAUGAUUACUUUGGCAGGAGGAAAAAUAAACAUGUGAAAACAACCUCAAGUCAAUAAAAUGUAUGAUCAGUAACAUAUGAUGAGUAUAUAAGUUAUAGCAUGGGUAAUGUUGAUUCUAGCUAAUUACCUUUGAAAUUGAGGCAGGGCAAAACCAAUUAUGAGCUAGAGUUCAUAAGUAACUCCAAGAACUCCAAGUUGAAAAUCUCAAGGAGAGAGGAUUGCACAUUGGUAGUCCUGUGGAAUAGAGAAGAGAGAAGUCAUUCCAGGCAGAGGAAUGACAGGCAGAGGGGAAUUUUGGGUAACUAGACUGGGCUCAUUCUAAGUGAGCAGCACAUGCAGUUACAAAGACAUCAACACUCUUGUGUCUCCUGCUGCAGAGGUCUUGAUGCUGUGAAUGAUGACUAAUAUAUCUUUGGGUCUCCGAAGUGACUGAUUUAAUUCUAUCAUUUUUGGAGGCAAGGCUUUAUUAUAAGCUACACGAAUAACUUCAAAAAAGGAUUAAAUUAACUGUGCAUUAUUUACUGCAAGUGCAUUUCUCUGGUAUAAAUCUGUCUUAUUUAUGCAUUAGGAUGAGAAAACAGUUUAUUGCCAUUAUAUAUUGUUUAGGGCUGAAGGUUACAAUCUGUCACAAUAUCUCUUCAAAUCCAAAUUCUGGCUAAUUAAUUCUUUUUAUGAUAAAUUUUAUUUU